UUAAGACAUUCUUUAGACUAAAGUCUACUUGAUUUUGUGUUCACAGCCAUCUGGAAUGACUCAAAACUGAUGGGAACGCACUCGGUUCAUCACGAACAGACGGCACGCCGCUUCACCGCUGUAGUUGGCAUGGAUAGCAAACGCACAAUAGAUUCCUUGGUAUGAGCUGAUCAGCUAAUAUGCGAAAACAAGUUUCAUUGUUUCAUAGAUUGACAAAUGUCUUUCUCAUAAUGAUCGAGGCUUCUGUAAAAAAUACGAUAAAGGUGAGUAAUGAGUUCUUGAUUGGUGAGAUUCAUAUCUACCAAUGAUGAUCACAUCAUUUUUCAGUUAUCCCUGUCUUAGGAAUAGUGCUGACCAUUUUCAAUUCUGAACCCUCAUUUGAUCAUCAGCAUGUCAUUUUCUGAUUAAAAACUUUGUUACUAAGGCAAAUUUCUCUUUCAUUUUCAGAAACCUUCAUGGUGAAAACUAAGAACAAGAAGUUGAUCCGUUUAUAAGUGACAAAGGUAAGUCAACUUCUAACUCAAUGGGUUAUCUACGGUACUAUGAGCAACUACUUCAAUGAUGAUUUUAAACACAAUAUACGCAUACGGGGACAGAAUUUAAUGUUGUUGAAACUCUAGUUUACCCAGACUUGCCCUAUCUGAUUCUAGUUGCUUCAGACUCUAAUACUAGUUUCACGCUUCCAAAGGUUUUCUAAUUACUAAUCAUAUGUUUUCGUUGCAGAAUCUUUCCAAAUACAAACAUUGUUGCAUUGGAUCUUCAGUGUACAUCAGCUGAAUGUUGCCAACGAAUUGCACAAACGAGUUGAGAAUCCACAUUACCAACUAAAGGAUUCAAUCAGUUGUUUCAUCCCUCAGAUCACACGGCUCUUCUAGACAAAAAGGAGAUUAUCUGUCGUCGAUGUGCUUGGAAAUCCCUGCCUAAUUUAACAACCAAAGGUAAGUUUCGUUUCGUU
Long non-coding RNA from Aedes albopictus (Asian tiger mosquito), 955 nucleotides. RefSeq lists it as uncharacterized. The transcript is spliced from 7 exons. NCBI's taxonomy places the organism in Eukaryota, Metazoa, Arthropoda, Insecta, Diptera, Culicidae. The record is from RefSeq and is a predicted model, not a curated record.